ACACCCCUAACCAAACAGCGCCCCCUGUCUCCAAGCCUUCUGUCGCGCCCUAGCCAUGCCAAACCCGCCGGAAAUCCCCCCCAAAUCACAUGGUCCCCUCCUCUCUCUUCCCCCUGCCACGUGGCCUGACAGGUAACAGAUUUCGUAAAAUUGAAUCUUCCUCAUUCUCCCUCAUGCGCUCAUCUCACCUGAAAAUCAAUUUGAAGAUGAGAUUAGGAUGAAUGGGAGGCAUAGGAUUGAGCCUCACUCAAUCUACUCCCUCCAUUUGUCCUUUACUUGUGACUAAAGAUGGAUUUUCGGAUUUUUUAGAAAGAGGAAAAAUUUUCACGACUUGGAGGGGAAGUCUAGAAGUUUCUGGAGCUUAUAUAUAUUGGGGGUUCGUUUCUUUAGGGGUGGGCGAUUGGAAAAAUUUAGGAAUUCUUCAGUUUUUUUUGGACAAAAAUUUUGAGAAAAAAAAAUCGGACAGAAAGGAGAAAAAGAAAAGUUCUAGGGUUUUUGAUUUUUUAUUUUUCUGAAUUUUGGUUUUAGUUUUCCAUAUAUACAAGAAAAAUCAGUUUCUUCUUCUGGAUUUUUGUUCAAAAUGGAGUAAAGACAAUUGGGUGUUCGAAAUUUUUGGAGUCACCGUUUGUGGUUCUGGUCGUGGCUUGUUGUCUCUGUUUGAAGAUCUUGUUGAAUUCCUCUAUUCUGGACUCACUCAGUUUUGCUCGAUUUAGUGCUGUAAUUGCUGAAUUUUGUUCAUUGGAAAGCUAAUCUCAGGUUAUUCUUAAUCUCACUGCUUUAUUUUGGUAUGAUUGGAGUUUGAUUGAUUUCGAAAUGUGCCGGAUUCUCUAUUUUUAUGUUGUUACUCUUUUAACUUUUUAUUAGUUGGUUGUUGUAUGUAUGAUUGAGGAAUACGUAUUAGAGUGUGAGUUAGUUUAAUGGAGCUAAAAGUAUAUGUGUUCCCUUUCUUUUGACUUCAAUCAUGGAGUGUAUGUGAGAGGGAUUCAAUAGCUUGCUGCUAAAGAAAUCUAUUCACUGCUUUGGUAAUUUAUCUCACCACUGUUUAGAACCAUGACUUAGUAAUUUUGACAUUAUCCUUGUAUAGUUGGAGUACUUUAUUAAGGUGAAAUAAUAUGUUCUUAAUAUUUCAAUAAUAACGUCUGGAAGCAUGAGUAAGUCUUUAAAUGAAAUGAAAGUUUUUCUUUGUUUAAUUCAAGUUUUCAUGUCAGGUCCUUGUUAGUCUAUCGAGAUUUGAGAGUCUAUGUUUAAGGCGUCUGUCUAUUAUAUCUAUAUGUUAGUUUUAUUGAAUUUUUUAGAGCUCAUGAAAGCAUGUUUCAAUCUCUGCUGAAGGCUACAUUUGAUUUCAAAAUUUUCCUUGAAUAUUAAGAAGAUUACUGCAAUUUUGUUAAAAUUGUUUGGUGUACUUUGGAAUGUCUACAUUGAGCUAUGUGGUGGUUGGUUUAAGAUGAGUGAGCCUGCUAAAUCAUGUGUUUAGUGUUCAUGCUUAGUUUUGGGAUUUAAUAUGGUGAAAAGUGGAUGUUCCGACAGCUCAGAUUCACAUUUAUUUUUACUAGUUUUCCAGAUUUUUUUCAAAUUCUUGUUUCUUGAGUUGCUUUGAAUGCUUAUCUGUGGAAUACUUUAUUUUAGUGAUUGGAUUUGCUAUAUUUGAAUUGUUUUGGAUGAUCAUUGAUGCUGUGGGACGGGGAAAGGUCGGAGCCCAUUAGCAAAUAAUUUGUUUCCAUGCUUUAGGCAUUGGGUUCCGCCUAAUAAAAGUGAAAAGAUAAAAAUAAAACAUGAGUAUGAAUCUUUCUUUCUUUAUUUAGUUUUUUUUUAUUUUCUUUAUGUAUCGUAUUAUUCACUAGUAGCAUGCCUAGGCCAUUAUCAUUUGGGUAGGCAAAUCUUUAGGACGUUCAUGCUUUAAUUCCUUUUAGGAGAGAGGUUGUCCCUUUAGUCGAUUAUAUUAUUCGGGGAAUGCCCCGAAGUACUUUGUAAAUAUUUUGGAGGCCGUGACGAGUUUGUGAAGGAAGCAUAGUGUAGUAUUUUAUUUCUAUUUUUUAUUUUUAUUUUAUUUUCCUUUUUAUUUUUAUUUUCCUUUUAUUUGUCUUUUAUUUAGGUAGGGACAACCUCGAACCUUUUUGCGUUUGUUUUCUUUUUGUGUGUUUUUACCUCAAUUCGAAUAUUUUGGAAAACAACUUGAUUAUGUACGCAACCGUACUAGUUACGGGACUCGGGGAAUGCCUAACACCUUCUCCCCGAGUUAAAUGAACCCCCUUACGUAGAAUCUCUGGUGCAAACUUAAUUUUGGAAUCUAAAGUAUUUUAAAAGAGAAUUAUUUUUAAACGGUGACCUGAUACACUGAAAUCAAAUGUCAGGUCGCGACUCUGAAAUAUCUUUUAAAACACAAUUUUGUCACUUUCAAUUUUAAAAACCCUUUUGAGCUUUUUAAGUCUUUUAUUAUUUUAAAGGGAAUUAAGAAGUAAAAAAAAAGGGGUGUGACAAUCAUGACCAUAAUUUUUGGCGUUUAUAACAUUCCCACUACUCCUUAUUUUUACUCUUUGCUUUUACAACUUCCUCUUCUUCUCCAACUUAUCUUAGAACCCUACUUGCAAACUUCAACUUUCUCAAUAAAUUUCUCCUUCACAAAUUUCUUACCGUCAUGUCUGCUAACACUACUGCCUUUGAAAACUCUAGUCUUCUCUUUGAUAGAGGCCCAAAAAAGAACAAACCAAAUGAGACAGAUGUUGAGUCGGAACCUCCUAGCGUAAACAACAUCAUACCUCUUCAUCUUAGCACGAAAUCUGACCUUCAAGAACAAAAAAGAACCUGCAAAUCCCAAAAGUGACAGGCACUGGUCUGUUCGUAGGUAUCCUUCCUCCAUUCGUCCUCCUAGCAUCCCUAUCGUGAAUGAGGAAUAUAAUUAGAACAACAUCGAAAUCUUCACCUCUAAUGAGGUAGAAAGGGUCACCUUCUCCAAACCAGGGUUCAUGUAUGAUUAUACAUACCCUUUCACUUUGGGCCCUUUCAUUUUAAGAGUGGGUGAAGGAGUCGACCCAGUAAUCUUAGAAUUUUGCCACCGAUACCAACUCUGCUUGGCACAAUUAGGCCCAUACAUAUGGCAUAUGGUGGCUUGCCUCCACCAAUUAUACUCUGAGAUCAGGGAAACUCUAACUCUUGCACAUGUGAUGAACUUUUACUCCUUUAAGAUUUUUUGCGAGAGUAUGCUAAAAUUCAGCAAACGGGGUCAUCAUGCCCUUCUCACCAGCGUCGAUGAUGAUAACGAUCGUGGAUAGAUGAAACAUUUUAUUUUCAUUACUGCCAGGGACAUCCUCCCGACCACAACGUUUGCUGUUCUUGAAUCAUGGAACCUUUUUCGUAAGUCUUAGAGUAUUUCUUUUCUUUCCAUGUUUUCAAAAACACCUUCCAUUGUUACUAACUUUAUACAUUCCUUAUUCCAGCUACUCAUUGGAAAUUACCAUGGUUUAAGAUCUGGCCCAAUGGGUACAGAAAAUUCUAGAUAUCACUACACCAGAAUCCCGAAGGUAAAAAAAAUAUCUUGCAAAUAUGGAUAGAAAGCCAAAACUAUGAUAAACAAAAAUUCUUCCUUCUUUCAAUCUUACAAAAUAACAUAGAAAUAGUUUAGUAAUUGUUUUUUUGUACCACACAAGACUUUCAAAGGGAUCUGUUGUUUGUCCUGACAUCGAGGCUCUUAAGCACUCGAUGGAAGCUGAAUGGGUACUGUAGGGUGCCCUUAACUGGAGGAGAGCUCGCGAAUCUACUCGGACUUCUGGUGAAGGUACCACCUCCCAGAGUCCCCAUCUCAAAAACAAGAAACCAAAGAGGAAGUGUACCUCCUCGACUGGGACUCAAGAGAAAAGAGUGAAAGAAAUACCAACCGGACCGACCACAAUUGUCCUUGAUGAAGAAGAAAUCAAUGAUGAAGCGACUCCUCUUUAAAGAAGAAAAGAUAUUUAUCAGCUCAACUAGAUGCUCAAUCAGAAGAGCUUCAAACUCCACCACCGGAAGAAGUUCAAGAACUCUGGGGGCAAAUGGAAAUAGCCGAAAAUGCUUAAUCUCGCUUUCAAAGUCCCACAGUUAUUUCUGAUCAAAGGAGUUCAAUCCAUGACCUCCUUCAACUGCCAAAUUCUGAGCUGAUAACAACUACCUCUCCACCUACACCAACUUCUUCUUCUCCACCGGCCCAUCUGAAUAAAUAGAAAAUGCCCCUUCUCUAUGGUCAUCCGACAAUGAAAAUUUGGAAAAAUACUUACUCGGCACCCACUCAAUACCCUCAUAGAAAACGAAGCGCCAUCCUUUCGAUUUCGAAUGAGUGCCAUAUACUUUUCAAGUCGGUGGAGCUUGCCAAUUAUCUGAAGCUGCUGGCCUUAGAAAAAAGAUUAGAGAAAAAUGGACUCUCUUUCUACGGAGUGUUUGAUAAACAAUAGUAUGCACUGUUCGACGCAUGUAUCAAUCUAAGUUUCUUUUAUCUCCUUCCAACUUAUACUUUUCACUAAUAACCUUAGAUUUAACCCUUUUUAGGCUAACCUUUUUGCUUCCAAGGGCAUGCAAAGGUUGAUUCUGGACAAACAAGAGCAUACUUCGGAACGAGAUCAACUUCUAGCCGAACGAAAUCAGCUUGCUGAGCGCCUCCCAGUGUUGGAGGAAAAAAUUUCUCAAAUAGAUGAUCUCGAGGCUCGGUUGUAGCAAUUCGAAUGGCUCACAGCCAGGAAGCUUCCCAGCUACGUGAAAACCUUAAGGAAGCAAAGGCUAAAUGGGUUGAACUUCAUGAUACCGCGAUUGCUGCUGCCGAGCGUGAGUCUACCUUUAUGGAACAAGUUAAUAACUUGGAGGCUAGCUUAUGCUCCAAAAUCGAGGAGGCCAAUGCUACCGAGGAGAAAAGAGAAAGAAUGUAAGAAAGGCUCAGAAGGGUCAUGGAGAAAAAAUCAACUUCAUUUGAGCACCAAUAUCGAGCUUGACUCUAAAAUCAACAGUAUUGAUGGUAGGUUAGAAACACGUGUUUUAGCCGCGUUUUACACUCUAAUUAUUGCACUUUACAUGUCUUUGAGCUUAAAUGAUAGUGAAUUACACUUAUUACAUGUUCUAUGCCUUGUAGGAAGUGGUUUCGAGUUAAAAAAGAUAAUUAUGAGCUAAAUCGAACAAUUUGGAGCUUUGAAGUAUGAGUAAAAGCCCAAGGAAUUAAUCUGGGAUCGCGUUCGGGGGUCGAGGACUGAGUCUGGAUAUAAAAAAAAUGAAGAAAAUAAUUUACUCUGGAAAAGUUACAUAGCUGCACUGCGUAGGGCAGUGCAUAGGGCAGCGCAGCAGUGUGUUUUGCUGCUGUCCGUCAGAAAUCGCUCUCUGAACUUCUCCACUGGCACACCGCAUAGGGAAUCGCACCGUGCAUCGCGCCUGUGCAAUUUUUAUAGAGUAUUUUUUUGUAUCAUCUUGGAAAGGGUAGUUUCAUCCGGACUCGCUUCGGCAUCGUAUAAAUACACAAAAAUAUAUUUUUAAAGGGACGUUUGACCUACGAAAGAUUGGAAGAGCAUUGGAGACAUAAAGCAUAAGGAUUCAUCAUUCUUUCUUCAACUCAACACCCGAGUUUAGAUUGAAUUCAUAUUUUCUUAUUAUUCAACUUUAUUUGUGAUGACUUUAUUCAUGAUUAUGGAGUAGUUUACCUUAGAGUUUGAUGGAUAUGAUGUUUGAUUGAUAUUUGUGGAUUUUAACUCUAGUUCUUUGCUUGAGUUCGUUUAUGGAGCUUUGAAUUGAUUGCAACUUUAUUCAGUUUAUUUAAUCGAAAGAGGAAUAUUUUGGUGAUUAUCUUUGCAUUAUUUGAUUUGGUUUAAUUCAGUUAUUCUUUUAAGUAAUCAAAAGAGCUUGUUGAAUUGUUGAUUAAAUCAAGUUAGGAGAAUAUUCAAGAGACGUUUUUGUAAUGAUCCGGCUUCUCGUUUCAUGAGUUAUCGCUCUGUUUCUCCCAUUUCUGCUUCUUUAUAUCUUGUUCAGCUGUAUUAUGUGGUAUUGGGGGUGGUUGGUUCGGGUACAGAAUGGUUUGGUAGAGAAAUGAGACACUUAGUCUCUUUUGAGUAAGCUUAAGUUGGAAAAGUCAACUGAAUGUUGACUUAUGUGAAAAAGGUCUCGGAUGUGAAUUCCGAUAGUUCGAAUAGCUUUGUUAGAUGAUUUGGGACUUAGGAGCGUGAUCGGAAUGUAUUUUAGAGGUCCGUGGAAGAUUUAGUCUUGAAUUGGUGAAAUUGGAAUUUUGGCGUUUUCCAGUUGGUAGUGGAGAUUUUGAUAUAGGGGUCGGAAUGAAAUUCCGAAAAUUGGAGUAGGUCCGUUUUAUCAUUUGUGACGUGUGUGCAAAAUUUCAGGUCAUUCGGACGAGGUUUGAUAGACUUUUUGAUCGAAAGCGAAAAUUGAAAGUUUUGGAAUUCAUAGGCUUGAAUUUGAGGGUGAUUUGGUGUUCCGACAUUGUUUUGAGUGUUCCGAGGAUUGGAAAAAGUUUGAAUAGUGUUAUGUGACUUGUUGGUGUGUUUGGUUGAGGUCCCGAGGCCCUUGGGAUGGAUUUGGAUGGUUGACUGAGAGUUUGGAUUUUUGGAGUUGUGUUGUAGAUUUUCUGCUUCUGUUAUUUCCGCACCUGCGGAUUGGGGACCGCAGGUGCGAUGCCGCAGAUGCGUAGAGGAGGUUGCAGAAGCAGAUUUGGGUCAGUUGGAGCUUGGCCACAGGUGCGGUGCAUUGGGCACAUCUGCGGGGCCAUAGGUGCUGUUCCUGGACGUAGAUGCGGCCCUGGGGGAUUAAUGAAGAACCGCAGAUGCGGUUGUCUUGACCGCAAAUGUGGUCUGUAGAAGCGUGAUUUGGGCCGCAGGUGCAGAAUCCCUAGGCCAGAACCUAUAUAAGGUUUCCUUCGCGAUUUUCAGCUUUGUUUCACCAUAUUUAAGUCAGAUUGAGAGCUUUUUGGGAGAUUUUGAAGAGGGGAUUCAAGGGAACUUCGUAGAGGUAAGAUUCUUGGAACUAAAACUCAUUUCUAUGGUGUUAUUUUACUGAUUAGACAUGGAGUUUAUGGAAAUUAGUGGUUAAAAUUGGGGGUUUAGGAUUUGAAAUUGGAGACCUUGAUUUAGGGAUUUAAGGGGUCAUUUGUGGUCGGAUUUUGAUGUAUUAUGUAUGAACUCGUGAGAUUAGAAGGAUUCUAGUUUUGUGAUUUUUAUCGGAAUUCGAUACGUGGGCUCAGGGGUCGGGUUUGGCCAAUUUCGGAAUUUUUUAUGUAAAUUGGUUAUUUUCGAGUGGGCUUUGUUCCCUUAGCAUAUUUUGAUGGUAUAAAUCUGAUUUUGGUUAGAUUUGGAGCAUUCGGAGGCCGAGUCGAGAGGCAAAGGCAUCGCGGGCUAGAGUUUGGACCGGAUUGAGGUAAGUAAUGAUUAUAAAUGUUGUCCUGAGGGUAUGAAACCCCGGAUUUCACAUCAUUAUGCUACUUUGAGGUGGCGUACACGCUAGAUGACGAGCGUGGGGUCGUGCACCGUUGAGGAUUGUGACUUUGUCCGUCCCGUACGACUGUUAAGUUGCAUAUUUGAUUAAACCCUAUUUGAUAUCAUUGUUUUUUGGAAAUUAUUAUCAUAUUUUAGGCGGAAUGCCAUAUUUGGGCUGAAUGCCAACUGUUUUGGACCCUUAGGGGCUUUUUACUGCUUUUCCUGACUGUUUUUACUUAAUAUCUGUACUCAGUCAUGUUGUAUUCUACUAUUUUUAUAACUCAGUCAUAUUUACUUCAUUUUGAUAUUUUAAGUGAUAUUUUGGGCUGAGUAUCAUGUUUUACUAUUGCCCGAGUGGCUUGAGAGAUUUCUAAGUGAGUAAGCCCGAGGACCUGUAUUGUGAGGAUAUCAUGGGAUCGGGCUGCGCGCCGCAACUUGUGUACUUAUUAUGAUAUAUGAGAGGUCGAGGGCUUGAUUUGUUAUUCCACGAGAUAACUUGUGAUAGCGUUUGGGCUGUAGGAGCCCCUCUGGAGUCUGAAUACUCCUAGUGAGUACGGGUACCUAGUGUGAGAUGUGAUAUUGCCCGAGGGGUUGUUAUUGUUUCAUGUUAUUGCCCGAGGGGCUGAUUACGAGUGAUUGUGAGGUAGCCGGAGGGGCUAGUUCUAUUGAUAUUUUGCCCGAGGGGUGGUUGUGGUACAUGUUUUGCCUGAGGGGCUAUUUACGUUUCUACCAUUUUACUCACUAUUUUCAUCACUCGUUUGAAACUAAUUAAAGUGUUUUAAAAUGUUUUACUGAACUGAGUUGUUUUUACGAGUUUUAUUGCUUUACUGCAUUGUUCUAGACUUAUACUGUUUUACUGUAGCGUUAUGAUAUGGUUUACGUGUUUUCUUAUUGCUCAGCUGCCUUAAAUUUUAUUACUUACUAAGUUGGCGUACUCACAUUACUCCCUGCACCUUGUGUAUAGAUCCAAGAGUCUCGAGGGGUGAUAGUGAGUGCUGAUCAGUCUUCCAGCAUGUCUCCAGAGUCGACUAGGUAGCCGCUUGGCGUUCGCAACCCAGUGUUUCUCCUUCCUACCUUAUUCAACUUUGUAUUAGCAUUUUGUUUUCAGACUAUGUUGUCCUUUCUUAUUCCUAGAUGAGUUGUAGUUGCUCAUGACUGC
RNAcentral lists this long non-coding RNA (8583 nucleotides) under Nicotiana tabacum (common tobacco). RNAcentral's name for it is "long non-coding RNA (NTAB_LNC001645)". The record is from RNAcentral. Lineage: Eukaryota; Viridiplantae; Streptophyta; Magnoliopsida; Solanales; Solanaceae.